This 234-nucleotide unclassified non-coding RNA is filed under the name plant metagenome. RNAcentral's name for it is "partial contains small subunit ribosomal RNA, internal transcribed spacer 1, and 5.8S ribosomal RNA". The record is from RNAcentral.
UUUCCGUAGGUGAACCUGCGGAAGGAUCAUUACUGAGUGAGGGCCCUCUGGGUCCAACCUCCCACCCGUGUUUAUUGCACCUUGUUGCUUCGGUGAGCCCGCCUCACGGCCGCCGGGGGGCAUAUGCCCCCGGGCCCGCGCUCGCCGAAGACACCCGUGAACUCUGGCUGAAGUUUGCAGUCUGAGCGAAAACUAAAUAAGUUAAAACUUUCAACAACGGAUCUCUUGGUUCCG